Molecule: ribosomal RNA, 404 nt
Filed under: uncultured Wolinella sp.
Lineage: Bacteria; Pseudomonadati; Campylobacterota; Epsilonproteobacteria; Campylobacterales; Helicobacteraceae
Description: bacterial SSU rRNA
Rfam family: Bacterial small subunit ribosomal RNA
Source: RNAcentral
AAAGCCUGACGCAGCGACGCCGCGUGAGGGAUGAAGGUUUUCGGAUCGUAAACCUCUGUCAGAAGGGAAGAAACCGCACCGUGCUAAUCAGCGGUGACUUGACGGUACCUUCAAAGGAAGCACCGGCUAACUCCGUGCCAGCAGCCGCGGUAAUACGGAGGGUGCAAGCGUUACUCGGAAUCACUGGGCGUAAAGAGCACGUAGGCGGCCUUGCAAGUCAGAUGUGAAAUCCAACGGCUUAACCGUUGAACUGCAUUUGAAACUGCAAGGCUAGAGUAUGGGAGAGGUAGGUGGAAUUCUCGGUGUAGGGGUAAAAUCCGUAGAGAUCGAGAGGAAUACUCAUUGCGAAGGCGACCUGCUGGAACAUUACUGACGCUGAGGUGCGAAAGCGUGGGGAGCAAACA